GCGAGAGCAAUUUGCACACCCAACAGCAGCAUAGCCUGACCUCAAACUUCUUUUCUUUGUAGGAAGCCCUGUAGCAGUCCCGGAGUGAUGGGACUCCCUGCCUGGCCUGAGAUACCCAGUUAGCACCUGCGAAUCAGAAUUUCCUCUUCGCAGCAAUAAAGCAUCCAGCCUUUGCAUCUGUGACAGCCUCCCCUGUAAUUUAUGCAUUCUAUGGAAAACACCAAAUGAUCUCGGCCAACCUGAUAUAUUAAACACUUCAGAGCAAGAGCUGACCAACUACUACUGGAGGCAGGCCAGUGCCUGAUCUUGUAAAUAAAAUUUUAUUGCAAUGUGGCUACUCUUAUUUG
Molecule: long non-coding RNA, 347 nt
Filed under: Bos indicus x Bos taurus (hybrid cattle)
Lineage: Eukaryota; Metazoa; Chordata; Mammalia; Artiodactyla; Bovidae
Description: lncRNA (ENSBIXG00000014992.1)
Source: RNAcentral